This 1278-nucleotide ribosomal RNA is filed under the name Triticum aestivum (bread wheat). RNAcentral's name for it is "partial small subunit ribosomal RNA". Lineage: Eukaryota; Viridiplantae; Streptophyta; Magnoliopsida; Poales; Poaceae. The record is from RNAcentral.
AUGGCGCUGCCCUACCUGGAGGCCGUCCUGUGCUUUAUGACUCUCAAUUACAUAUUUGAGACAUAUCUUAACAUCAGGCAGCAUAGAGCCCUUAAGUUACCAACAUUGCCAAAAUCCCUGGCAAAGGUAAUUAGUCAUGAAAAAUUUGAGCAGGCGAGAGCUUAUAGCCUGGACAAAAGCAAUUUCAAUUUUGUACGUGAGGCCAUAACUAUAGUAUGCGAUAUCGUGAUACUGUACUAUAAAGUUCUUCCUUGGUUUUGGACGAAAUCUGGAGUGUUAGUAACCAAUGUUGGCCUGAAUGCAGAAAAUGAGAUAAUACACACCCUUGCAUUCUUAGCAGGUGUCAUGGUUUGGUCACAGAUCACAGACUUGCCAUUCUCUCUGUACUCUACUUUUGUUAUUGAGGCUCGACACGGGUUUAACAAGCAAACAUUCUGGCUCUUCAUUUGGGACAUGAUCAAGGGAAUUUUGCUGUCCGUUGUACUCGCACCACCAAUUGUGGCUGCUAUCAUCGUUAUAGUACAGAAUGGAGGGCCUUACCUAGCAAUAUAUCUCUGGGGUUUUAUGUUUGCGCUAGCUCUGCUGAUGAUGACAAUUUACCCUAUCAUGAUAGCUCCUCUGUUCAACAAAUUCACUCCUCUUCCCGAAGGCUCGCUCAGGGAGAAAAUAGAGAAGUUAGCAGAUUCCCUCAAGUUUCCUCUGAAAAAGCUUUUUGUGGUGGAUGGGUCUACUCGAUCAAGCCACAGUAAUGCUUACAUGUAUGGGUUUUUCAAGAAUAAGCGCAUUGUUCUCUAUGACACAUUGAUACAACAGUGUAGUAAUGAUAAUGAGAUCGUUUCUGUUCUUGCGCACGAGCUUGGGCACUGGAAACUCAAUCACACUGCAUAUUCCUUUGUAGCUGUGCAGGUGCUUACAUUUAUGCAAUUCGGAGGAUACACUCUUGUAAGGAAUUCCAAAGAUCUCUUUGAAAGUUUUGGUUUUGAGGAUCAGCCGGUAAUCAUUGGACUGAUCAUUUUUAUGCACACUAUUAUACCCGUCCAACACCUUCUGAGUUUUUGCCUCAACCUCGUCAGCAGAGCAUUUGAAUUUCAGGCUGAUGCUUUUGCCAAGAACCUUGGGUAUGCUCCUGAGCUCAGGGGAGCCCUUGUUAAACUACAGGAAGAGAACUUAUCUGCAAUGAACACAGAUCCGUGGUAUUCAGCAUACCACUACUCCCAUCCACCCCUUGUUGAAAGACUGUCUGCUCUUGAAGACCUGGACAGCAAGAAAGAGAACUAA